Molecule: ribosomal RNA, 253 nt
Filed under: uncultured bacterium
Lineage: Bacteria
Description: partial 16S ribosomal RNA
Rfam family: Bacterial small subunit ribosomal RNA
Source: RNAcentral
UACAGAGGUCUCAAGCGUUGUUCGGAUUCAUUGGGCGUAAAGAGCGUGUAGGCGGCCCGGUAAGUCCGCUGUGAAAGUCGGGGGCUCAACCCUCGAAUGCCGGUGGAUACUGUCGGGCUAGAGUGCGGAAGAGGCGAGUGGAAUUCCUGGUGUAGCGGUGAAAUGCGCAGAUAUCAGGAGGAACACCGAUUGCGAAGGCAGCUCGCUGGGACGUAACUGACGCUGAGACGCGAAAGCGUGGGGAGCAAACAGG